This 264-nucleotide unclassified non-coding RNA is filed under the name Hevea brasiliensis (rubber tree). The record is from RNAcentral. Lineage: Eukaryota; Viridiplantae; Streptophyta; Magnoliopsida; Malpighiales; Euphorbiaceae.
AAGAAUAGAAAUCCUAAUUCAACUUUAAUUAAGCAUACUAAAUAAGAUAAAUUUCCUAAAUAAAAGAUAAACUUCCUAAGUAAAAAUUAGCAUAAUUCCUAGACAAUAAAAAACUCCUUAAAUAUCCCAAUUCUAUAAUAAUUAAAAUUCCCACAUAGAAUUCUUUUCCCAUGUUGUAUUAUUCUCCUCGGAGAAAACUCGACCUCAAGUUUUGAAGUGCUGAAGAAUCAUAAACCAAGCAAGGAGAACACACAAUACGAUCUU